This 418-nucleotide ribosomal RNA is filed under the name uncultured bacterium. RNAcentral describes it as "bacterial SSU rRNA". It matches the Rfam family "Bacterial small subunit ribosomal RNA", at positions 9 to 419 of the family's 1533-position model. The record is from RNAcentral.
GAGUUUGAUCGUGGCUCAGGAUGAACGCUAGCUACAGGCUUAACACAUGCAAGUCGAGGGGAAACGACAUCGAAAGCUUGCUUUUGAUGGGCGUCGACCGGCGCACGGGUGAGUAACGCGUAUCCAACCUGCCCAUCACUUGGGAAUAACCUUGCGAAAGUAAGACUAAUGCCCAAUGACAUUUAUAGAAGGCAUCUGAAAUGAAUUAAAGAUUUAUCGGUGAUGGAUGGGGAUGCGUCUGAUUAGCUUGUUGGCGGGGUAACGGCCCACCAAGGCGACGAUCAGUAGGGGUUCUGAGAGGAAGGUCCCCCAAUUGGAACUGAGACACGGUCCAAACUCCUACGGGAGCAGCAGUGAGGAAUAUUGGUCAAUGGGCAGAGCCUGAACCAGCCAAGUAGCGUGCAGGAUGACGGCCCUA